ACCUGGCUGGCUCAGUUGGUAGAGCGUGAGACUCUUAAUCUCAGGGUUAUGAGUUCAAGCUCCAUGUUGGGUG
This 73-nucleotide transfer RNA is filed under the name Felis catus (domestic cat). Its description in RNAcentral is "tRNA-Lys (CTT) (tRNA-Lys-CTT-15-1)". It matches the Rfam family "tRNA". From Rfam's summary of the family: Transfer RNA (tRNA) molecules are approximately 80 nucleotides in length. Their secondary structure includes four short double-helical elements and three loops (D, anti-codon, and T loops). Lineage: Eukaryota; Metazoa; Chordata; Mammalia; Carnivora; Felidae. The record is from RNAcentral.